Long non-coding RNA from Oncorhynchus tshawytscha (Chinook salmon), 1092 nucleotides. NCBI's taxonomy places the organism in Eukaryota, Metazoa, Chordata, Actinopteri, Salmoniformes, Salmonidae. The record is from Ensembl.
GAGGGUGUCCGCCCUCGUCUCGUGCCUCACCGGGAGAGCCCUGGAGUGGGCCAACGCCGUGUGGAGAGAGGGUGUCCGCCCUCGUCUCGUGCCUCACCGGGAGAGCCCUGGAGUGGGCCACCGCCGUGUGGAGAGAGGGUGUCCGCCCUCGUCUCGUGCCUCACCGGGAGAGCCCUGGAGUGGGCCAACGCCGUGUGGAGAGAGGGUGUCCGCCCUCGUCUCGUGCCUCACCGGGAGAGCCCUGGAGUGGGCCAACGCCGUGUGGAGAGAGGUGGGGGACCGGGAGCUGUUGGCUGUCGUAAAGGCCUUGAAUGCGUGGAGACAUUGGCUUGAGGGGGCUAAACACCCUUUUCUCAUCUGGACUGACCACCGAAAUCUGGAGUACAUCCGGGCAGCGAGGAGACUGAACCCUCGUCAGGCAAGGUGGGCCAUGUUUUUCACCUGUUUUGUUUUCACCCUGUCCUACAGACCAGGCUCCCAGAACGUGAAGGCAGACGCUCUGUCCCGGCUGUAUGACUCAUGUGGGGGGUCCACGGAUCCCACUCCCAUACUUCUGGCCUCCUGCCUGGUAGCGCCGGAGGUGUCGGAGCUGGAUGCGGACAUUGAGCAGGCGUUGUGUGCAGAACCCGCUCCCAUCCAGUGUCCUGCUGUGCGUCUGUAUGUCCCGUCUGCUGUCCGUGACCGGUUGAUCUAUUGGGCCCACACGUCACCCUCCUCUGGUCAUCCUGGUAUUGGUCGGACAGUGCGCUGUUUGAGUGGGAAGUACUGGUGGCCUACCUUGACUAAGGACGUGAGGGUUUAUGUUUCCUCCUGCUCUGUGUGCGCCCAGUGUAAGGCUCCUAGGCACCUGUCCAGAGGGAAGCUACACCCCUUACCCUUUUCACCACGAGAGUAAUGGGCAGGUGGAGAAAGUAAACCAGGAUGUGGUGCGUACUGGGCUACCAGCCGGGUCUGGCAUCGUGGCGGCAGAGUCAGACCGAGGCUCCUGCGGUGGACGACUGGUUCAGGCUCGCGGAGGAGACAUGGGAAGCUGCUCGUGUUCACCUUCAGCGGGCCGUGCUGCGCCAGAAAGACAGCGCAGACCGUCACCGC